RNAcentral lists this ribosomal RNA (253 nucleotides) under uncultured bacterium. RNAcentral describes it as "partial 16S ribosomal RNA". It matches the Rfam family "Bacterial small subunit ribosomal RNA", at positions 524 to 776 of the family's 1533-position model. The record is from RNAcentral.
UACGGGGGGGGCAAGCGUUGUUCGGAAUUACUGGGCGUAAAGGGCUCGUAGGCGGCCAACUAAGUCAGACGUGAAAUCCCCAGGCUUAACCUGGGAACUGCGUCUGAUACUGGAUGGCUUGAAUUCGGGAGAGGGAUGCAGAAUUCCAGGUGUAGCGGUGAAAUGCGUAGAUAUCUGGAGGAACACCGAUGGCGAAGGCAAUCCCCUGGGCCUGCACUGACGCUCAUGCACGAAAGCGUGGGGAGCAAACAGG